GACCUCAAAUCAGGUAGGACUACCCGCUGAACUUAAGCAUAUCAAUAAGCGGAGGAAAAGAAACUAACAAGGAUUCCCCUAGUAACUGCGAGUGAAGCGGGAAAAGCUCAAAUUUAAAAUCUGGCGGUCCCUGUGGCCGUCCGAGUUGUAAUUUAGAGAAGUGUUAUCCGCGCUGGACCGUGUACAAGUCUCCUGGAAUGGAGCGUCAUAGAGGGUGAGAAUCCCGUCUUUGACACGGACUGCCAGGGCAUUGUGAUACGCUCUCAAAGAGUCGAGUUGUUUGGGAAUGCAGCUCAAAAUGGGUGGUAAAUUCCAUCUAAAGCUAAAUAUUGGGGAGAGACCGAUAGCGAACAAGUACCGUGAGGGAAAGAUGAAAAGAACUUUGGAAAGAGAGUUAAACAGUACGUGAAAUUGCUGAAAGGGAAACGCUUGAAGUCAG
Molecule: ribosomal RNA, 439 nt
Filed under: uncultured fungus
Lineage: Eukaryota; Fungi
Description: eukaryotic LSU rRNA
Rfam family: Eukaryotic large subunit ribosomal RNA
Source: RNAcentral